RNAcentral lists this ribosomal RNA (255 nucleotides) under uncultured bacterium. RNAcentral describes it as "partial 16S ribosomal RNA". It matches the Rfam family "Bacterial small subunit ribosomal RNA", at positions 524 to 776 of the family's 1533-position model. The record is from RNAcentral.
CACGUAGGGGGCAAGCGUUUGUCCGGAUUUAUUGGGCGUAAAGAGCUCGUAGGCGGCCAGGUAGGUCAGCUGUGAAAACUCGAGGCUCAACCUCGAGACGUCGGUUGAAACCACCUGGCUAGAGUCCGGAAGAGGAGAGUGGAAUUCCGUGGUGUAGCGGUGAAAUGCGCAGAUAUCAGGAAGAACACCCGUGGCUAAGGCGGCUCUCUAGUACGGUACUGACGCUGAGACGCGAAAGCGUGGGGAGCGAACAGG